Molecule: long non-coding RNA, 813 nt
Organism: Hibiscus syriacus
Lineage: Eukaryota; Viridiplantae; Streptophyta; Magnoliopsida; Malvales; Malvaceae
Exons: 3
Source: RefSeq, a predicted model, not a curated record
UCUUCUUCUUCAACCCAACCCCAUCUUCUUCCUCAACCCAACCCCAUCUUCUUCCUCAACCCAUCUUCUUCUUUCUUUCUCUUCACUUUUCUUCUCCAUAGCUUCCCAAUCAACCCAAACAUUAUCCUAAAAAUUAAUAGCGUAAUUUUUCAAAUUUUUAUUUAUUUUAAUGGAACAUACCCAAAAUGAAGAAAGGCGCAUGGAAAGCAGACCAAGCUACUCAAGGAUGCAUCAGAAGAAUUUCUACAAGUAGGAGCUUCGGGUUCCGGUGGUUUUGUCGACAUAAAUACAACAUCAGCAAUUCUCUUUGUAGUAAUUGAUUCAUGUUUCUUGGUCAUGCUUUACAUGCUUAUGUCAUUCUGGUUUGUUGAAGUUCUGGUGAUUCUCUUUUGCAUCGGUGGAGUAGAGGUACAUGCACAUCUUCAGGGGAAACUUUUUCAACUUGAAGAUCUUGAAUCUGUUUACCCGAAGAUGCAAUUGGGUUGAGGAAGAAUAAGAGGUUGGGUUGAGGAAGAAGAUGGGAUUGGGUUGAAGAAGAAGAAGAGCAGGUCAAAAUGGUCCAGCUGUGGCAGUCAACUAUCCAUGUCGGCAUGUAACGGUUCAGCUGUGUUUCAUUGGCGUAGUUUACCCUUGACAAAAAAUGGAAACAAGCGGUCUAACCCGGAUCUAAAACCUGAAAUAUUCGAAUCCAAACCUGGUCGGUUUUAACUUGGGCCACCUCAAUUUUAACCGAAUCUCUUUUCGUGGGCUCAAUCAUGGGUUUUAGUUAAAUAUACGUGGAAAGUUAUUUAUCUGCAAACCAAAUAAAGUAAA